CAGCCGCCGCGGGAAUACGAGGGGGGCAAGCGUUGUUCGGAAUUAUUGGGCGUAAAGGGCGCGUAGGCGGUUUGACAAGUCUGAUGUGAAAUCUCUGGGCUCAACCCAGAGUCUGCAUCGGAAACUGUCGAGCUUGAGUAUGGGAGAGGUGAGUGGAAUUUCCGGUGUAGCGGUGAAAUGCGUAGAUAUCGGAAGGAACACCUGUGGCGAAAGCGGCUCACUGGACCAUUACUGACGCUGAGGCGCGAAAGCUAGGGGAGCAAACAGGAUUAGAUACCCGCGUAGUCCCUGUCUCUUAUAC
This 301-nucleotide ribosomal RNA is filed under the name uncultured bacterium. Its description in RNAcentral is "partial 16S ribosomal RNA". It matches the Rfam family "Bacterial small subunit ribosomal RNA", at positions 509 to 807 of the family's 1533-position model. The record is from RNAcentral.